GCAAGUCGUGCGCGAACGUGGCUUCGGUCACUAGUAGAGCGGCGAACGGGUGAGUAACACGUGGAUAACCUGCCUGGAUGUGGGGGACAACUUGAGGAAACUCGAGCUAAUACCGCAUACGUCUCGACUCUCAAGGAGUCGAAAGAAAGAUGGCCUCUUCUUGAAAGCUGUCGCAUUCAGAUGGAUCCGCGGCUGAUUAGCUAGUUGGUGAGGUAGAGGCUCACCAAGGCGACGAUCAGUAGCCGGCCUGAGAGGGCGAUC
This 261-nucleotide ribosomal RNA is filed under the name uncultured bacterium. Its description in RNAcentral is "partial 16S ribosomal RNA". It matches the Rfam family "Bacterial small subunit ribosomal RNA", at positions 57 to 305 of the family's 1533-position model. The record is from RNAcentral.